UAUGCCUCGCCCACAGACAGGUAAAUGAUGUCAGGUGAACCCUGAGGCUCUGCCCAUCAUACAACGGUCCUAUCAGGGAUGUCAGAAGUAGAAGCUGCUAGAUGUUGGGUGAUUCUCCUCCCAUAUAAAGCGUUUCCCGCAGCGUCUCCCUGAGUUCAUCUAAACUGCUGGUUUACACCCGACGCCGUGGGGAGAGGCCAUGAGAAUGUCCUUAGCGGAUGCAGCUUCUUCAAGGAACACAUAUUCCCAGGGCAGAAGUAAGCAAAUGCUACAGACGAGAGCCUUCUCAGAAAGCUGGCUGCUGGGUGUUUGCCAAUAUGCCAAUAUUCAUAGGGAAGUCUAUGACACGCUCCUCUCCCGCAUCGAUCACAUGCCACAAGGAGAGAACCUGAUAAAGAAUCCGCAUAGCAACCGGAACAGACUGUGAACGUUAGAUGGACUGGAUUCCUGUAAGGGACAAUAAAUAAUGCCCCUUUGUCCCCUCCCUGGGCUGGAAGACAGAAAAUCAAUAUCUCAACUCAAUUACUAAUAAACUCAAUUAAAACUUGCACCAUG
Long non-coding RNA from Mastomys coucha (southern multimammate mouse), 555 nucleotides. RefSeq lists it as uncharacterized. The transcript is spliced from 3 exons. The record is from RefSeq and is a predicted model, not a curated record. NCBI's taxonomy places the organism in Eukaryota, Metazoa, Chordata, Mammalia, Rodentia, Muridae.